This 1001-nucleotide ribosomal RNA is filed under the name Staphylococcus hominis. Its description in RNAcentral is "bacterial LSU rRNA". It matches the Rfam family "Bacterial large subunit ribosomal RNA", at positions 697 to 1699 of the family's 2925-position model. Lineage: Bacteria; Bacillati; Bacillota; Bacilli; Caryophanales; Staphylococcaceae. The record is from RNAcentral.
UAGUAUUUGGUCGUAGACCCGAAACCAGGUGAUCUACCCAUGGUCAGGUUGAAGUUCAGGUAACACUGAAUGGAGGACCGAACCGACUUACGUUGAAAAGUGAGCGGAUGAACUGUGGGUAGCGGAGAAAUUCCAAUCGAACUUGGAGAUAGCUGGUUCUCUCCGAAAUAGCUUUAGGGCUAGCCUCAAGUGAUGAUUAUUGGAGGUAGAGCACUGUUUGGACGAGGGGCCCCUCUCGGGUUACCGAAUUCAGACAAACUCCGAAUGCCAAUUAAUUUAACUUGGGAGUCAGAACAUGGGUGAUAAGGUCCGUGUUCGAAAGGGAAACAGCCCAGACCACCAGCUAAGGUCCCAAAAUAUAUGUUAAGUGGAAAAGGAUGUGGCGUUGCCCAGACAACUAGGAUGUUGGCUUAGAAGCAGCCAUCAUUUAAAGAGUGCGUAAUAGCUCACUAGUCGAGUGACACUGCGCCGAAAAUGUACCGGGGCUAAACAUAUUACCGAAGCUGUGGAUUGUCCUUUGGACAAUGGUAGGAGAGCGUUCUAAGGGCGUUGAAGCAUGAUCGCAAGGACAUGUGGAGCGCUUAGAAGUGAGAAUGCCGGUGUGAGUAGCGAAAGACGGGUGAGAAUCCCGUCCACCGAUUGACUAAGGUUUCCAGAGGAAGGCUCGUCCGCUCUGGGUUAGUCGGGUCCUAAGCUGAGGCCGACAGGCGUAGGCGAUGGAUAACAGGUUGAUAUUCCUGUACCACCUAUAAUCAUUUUAAUCGAUGGGGGGACGCAGUAGGAUAGGCGAAGCGUACGAUUGGAUUGUACGUCUAAGCAGUGAGAUUGAGUGUUAGGCAAAUCCGGCACUCUUAAGAUUGAGCUGUGAUGGGGAGAGGAAAUUGUUUCCUCGAGUCGUUGAUUUCACACUGCCGAGAAAAGCCUCUAGAUAGAGAUUAGGUGCCCGUACCGCAAACCGACACAGGUAUUCAAGAUGAGAAUUCUAAGGUGAGCGAGCGAAC